This 69-nucleotide transfer RNA is filed under the name Cyrtodactylus linnoensis. Its description in RNAcentral is "tRNA-Tyr". The record is from RNAcentral. Lineage: Eukaryota; Metazoa; Chordata; Lepidosauria; Squamata; Gekkonidae.
UAGGUAGGGUGGCCGAGCAGGUGGCAAGCUGUAGACUUGCUUACGGGGCCACGCCCCCCCCCAAGCCCC